UACGAAGGGGGCUAUCGUUGUUCGGAAUUACUGGGCGUAAAGCGCACGUAGGCGGCUCUGUAAGUUGGGGGUGAAAUCCCGAGGCUCAACCUCGGAAUUGCCUUCAAGACUGCAGGGCUUGAGUUCGGGAGGGGUGAGUGGAAUUCCCAGUGUAGAGGUGAAAUUCGUAGAGAUUGGGAAGAACACCAGUGGCGAAGGCGGCUCACUGGCCCGUAACUGACGCUGAGGUGCGAAAGCGUGGGGAGAAAACAGG
Molecule: ribosomal RNA, 253 nt
Filed under: uncultured bacterium
Lineage: Bacteria
Description: partial 16S ribosomal RNA
Rfam family: Bacterial small subunit ribosomal RNA
Source: RNAcentral